GCCAGGUGCAGUGGCGUGCACCUGUAGUCCCAGAGACUUGGGGUGCUGAGGCAGGAGAAUCACUCGAGCCCAGGAGGUUGAGGUUGCAGUGACAGCCAUGUUCACGCCACUGCAUUCCAACUUGGGCAACAGAGCGAGACCCUGUCUCAA
Unclassified non-coding RNA from Papio anubis (olive baboon), 150 nucleotides. It matches the Rfam family "Metazoan signal recognition particle RNA". From Rfam's summary of the family: The signal recognition particle (SRP) is a universally conserved ribonucleoprotein. It is involved in the co-translational targeting of proteins to membranes. NCBI's taxonomy places the organism in Eukaryota, Metazoa, Chordata, Mammalia, Primates, Cercopithecidae. The record is from Ensembl.